CGCUGGCGGCGUGCCUAAUACAUGCAAGUAGAACGCUGAAGAGAGGAGCUUGCUCUUCUUGGAUGAGUUGCGAACGGGUGAGUAACGCGUAGGUAACCUGCCUUGUAGCGGGGGAUAACUAUUGGAAACGAUAGCUAAUACCGCAUAACAAUGGAUGACACAUGUCAUUUAUUUGAAAGGGGCAAUUGCUCCACUACAAGAUGGACCUGCGUUGUAUUAGCUAGUAGGUGAGGUAAUGGCUCACCUAGGCGACGAUACAUAGCCGACCUGAGAGGGUGAUCGGCCACACUGGGACUGAGACACGGCCCAGACUCCUACGGGAGGCAGCAGUAGGGAAUCUUCGGCAAUGGGGGCAACCCUGACCGAGCAACGCCGCGUGAGUGAAGAAGGUUUUCGGAUCGUAAAGCUCUGUUGUAAGUCAAGAACGGGUGUGAGAGUGGAAAGUUCACACUGUGACGGUAGCUUACCAGAAAGGGACGGCUAACUACGUGCCAGCAGCCGCGGUAAUACGUAGGUCCCGAGCGUUGUCCGGAUUUAUUGGGCGUAAAGCGAGCGCAGGCGGUUUGAUAAGUCUGAAGUUAAAGGCUGUGGCUCAACCAUAGUUCGCUUUGGAAACUGUCAAACUUGAGUGCAGAAGGGGAGAGUGGAAUUCCAUGUGUAGCGGUGAAAUGCGUAGAUAUAUGGAGGAACACCGGUGGCGAAAGCGGCUCUCUGGUCUGUAACUGACGCUGAGGCUCGAAAGCGUGGGGAGCGAACAGGAUUAGAUACCCUGGUAGUCCACGCCGUAAACGAUGAGUGCUAGGUGUUGGAUCCUUUCCGGGAUUCAGUGCCGCAGCUAACGCAUUAAGCACUCCGCCUGGGGAGUACGACCGCAAGGUUGAAACUCAAAGGAAUUGACGGGGGCCCGCACAAGCGGUGGAGCAUGUGGUUUAAUUCGAAGCAACGCGAAGAACCUUACCAGGUCUUGACAUCCCGAUGCUAUUUCUAGAGAUAGAAAGUUACUUCGGUACAUCGGUGACAGGUGGUGCAUGGUUGUCGUCAGCUCGUGUCGUGAGAUGUUGGGUUAAGUCCCGCAACGAGCGCAACCCCUAUUGUUAGUUGCCAUCAUUCAGUUGGGCACUCUAGCGAGACUGCCGGUAAUAAACCGGAGGAAGGUGGGGAUGACGUCAAAUCAUCAUGCCCCUUAUGACCUGGGCUACACACGUGCUACAAUGGUUGGUACAACGAGUUGCGAGUCGGUGACGGCGAGCUAAUCUCUUAAAGCCAAUCUCAGUUCGGAUUGUAGGCUGCAACUCGCCUACAUGAAGUCGGAAUCGCUAGUAAUCGCGGAUCAGCACGCCGCGGUGAAUACGUUCCCGGGCCUUGUACACACCGCCCGUCACACCACGAGAGUUUGUAACACCCGAAGUCGGUGAGGUAACCUUUUGGAGCCAGCCGCCUAAGGUGGGACAGAUGAUUGGGGUGAAGUCGAA
This 1472-nucleotide ribosomal RNA is filed under the name Streptococcus thermophilus. RNAcentral describes it as "bacterial SSU rRNA". It matches the Rfam family "Bacterial small subunit ribosomal RNA". Lineage: Bacteria; Bacillati; Bacillota; Bacilli; Lactobacillales; Streptococcaceae. The record is from RNAcentral.